CCUACGGGAGGCAGCAGUAGGGAAUAUUGCUCAAUGGGGGCAACCCUGAAGCAGCAACGCCGCGUGGAGGAUGAAGGUUUUCGGAUUGUAAACUCCUUUUGUUAGAGAAGAUAAUGACGGUAUCUAACGAAUAAGCACCGGCUAACUCCGUGCCAGCAGCCGCGGUAAUACGGAGGGUGCAAGCGUUACUCGGAAUCACUGGGCGUAAAGAGCGCGUAGGCGGGAUAGCAAGUCAGAUGUGAAAUCCUAGGGCUUAACCAUAGAACUGCAUUUGAAACUGUUAUUCUAGAGUAUGGGAGAGGUAGGUGGAAUUCUUGGUGUAGGGGUAAAAUCCGUAGAGAUCAAGAGGAAUACUCAUUGCGAAGGCGACCUGCUAGAACAUAACGGACGCUGAUGCGCGAAAGCGUGGGGAGCAAACAGGAUUAGAUACCCUAGUAGUC
Molecule: ribosomal RNA, 440 nt
Filed under: uncultured bacterium
Lineage: Bacteria
Description: partial 16S ribosomal RNA
Rfam family: Bacterial small subunit ribosomal RNA
Source: RNAcentral